This is a long non-coding RNA of Sinocyclocheilus anshuiensis, 3507 nucleotides long. RefSeq lists it as uncharacterized. The transcript has 3 exons. Lineage: Eukaryota; Metazoa; Chordata; Actinopteri; Cypriniformes; Cyprinidae. The record is from RefSeq and is a predicted model, not a curated record.
GGAAAUGUACCCCUGUAGCUGAAUGACAGUUGGUUUUUCCUCAUGUUCCCGCCUGAUUGAUUGCUGGUUGUAUAAAAACGAGACUGAUAUCCAGCAGGCUUAUUCACUGAGUACUAGUCGCUGCGAUCAGCUUUGGUACACCAUAAUAGGCCUUGAAAAUCCACUUCAUAUCAAAGCUUGGAAUGAUAAAGGUCAUAGGUCAACAUGCAAGUAGUUCAAGUGCAUGCUAGAAAAGACGUCAGUUAGGCAAGUAGAAUAUAACUAAACUCCCAAUCCCCUUUAACUGCUACGAGGAUAUGAAAAUAAACGCACCAUAUGCUGAUUUGAACUUGUAAUUAAGCCCUGUGGUAGAGAAUUAAUGGAUCGUUUUGGCUGAUUUGACUGUGAUGGAGUUUUUGGUGAUUCAGGCAAUAGAACAUGAUGAGUGUUAUGAUUACGAUAAACACAAGGACCAUCUUUAAUCACACUCUGAGCAUUUCCUACAGAAACUUUGGUUGUCACUCAAUAUUUUAACGUAUAAUUCACACUGUUAUUAUAAUUAUGCUCUUUAUUUAGGACAAUGAAAAAAUGCUUAAACCGUUCUUCUGCAAUAUCGACUAUUAUGAAGACCUCUGACCCUGAGAAGCUGGAGAUGAAUCCUGCGAACUUUACUAUGUGCAACUAUUAACUUUUAACAACUAACAGAGAGACCGAGAACUGAUCAUUAUUUGAAAAGAGGCUAUUUUUAUACUAAGCACUUGGACACUGCGAUUCGGAUCGGGGUUUGGAGUUGCGCGCGGGCGGCUUUGAGUUGACAUUUUGGGAGGACAGGAUAUCGUGCUGUUGCAUGGAGAUCUACAGUUAACGUUUUGGUUUUUGUAUUUUGACUCUCUGCAUAUUCAACACCAAGUACCACGAAUUGAAAAGAGCAGUGGUCUGGACAAAUGGCAGGAAAAAAUAUAAAUAAAUAAUAAGGAGGAGCCAUUGCUAUUAAGGGCCUAUAACCUUCUGCACUUUUUCGUGACCCUUUUUAAUUUGUAUACUAGUGCAUGAAGGAACUGUCUUUAAAAUAUAUCCUUUCCUUAUUAUGGUAUUUCCUCAUUAAUAUGAAGACAUAUCAAGCUGAACUUCACUCCUCACUGCAUAUCCGCAUAUCCUGGGGCUGUGGUGAACCAGACAGUGGCCUCAAAGUUUCCCUACUUAAGGGCAAGAAUUAGCUGGACAUUUUCAUCCUCAUCAUCACUGGCAUUACCAUCCCUCGUCAUAAUCAUUUUCUGAUUACUGUUAUUCCUCUAAUUUGAAUGCAGUAGAAAAUCAGUUCAGUUUGUUUUCUCUUUGGUCCCCUUCUUUUCUUUCUGUUUCUUUUUAAAAAAAUUUUUUUUUUUUACCUGCUCUGUCUCUUGGAUGCUGGCCUUCGUUCCAAUAUAAAGGAGGGAACAUUGAAUGGAUGCUGGAUUGACAGCGAGAACUAUUCUGAAAGCCCAGUGCUUAUCAGAUAUAUGCAAAAAGAAGCAGUAACUGUGAACUAAGACUAGAACAGAAAAUCCACUUCUUCCUUCACAAAUACAUUCCCAAACGCACACCUGAGCCCCCGAACCAGUAUCAGCUCCCGUACAAGUGCAUUUUAGUUUGUAUUCUCAUCUCAUGGCGUCAUCAAUCUUGUUUAAUCAUCUUAGUUUUGCAUUAUUAAAGAGCAGAUUAGUUGUUUUUCUCCCCCUUGCUGUUGCGUUAACCUCAGCUCUAGCCCCCUCUGCUGGUUUUACGGGGGAUGACGUAGCAUUCGCUGUUGUAGAUCAUUAGCACUCCUUUGUCACUUUAGAGGCUAAGAAUACAGAUUUUAGCCCUUAAUGUUUACCUGUUAUAUUUAAGAUAAAAAAAAGAUUCUUUAGGCAUUUAUUUGAACAGACUCAGACCAGAAGGAGUGUUUUCCUGUUCACUAAACACUGAUCAGAGCAGAGAGAAAGAAUAUAAUGCUAAGAAGUCUGCUCACUGCAGCAAUGCAUGUUUCCACACAUUCAAGAUCCCUAGUGCAUUUUGUGGUUUUGCUGUGUGUAGUCUAUCUGUUAAGGUGUAGUCAGGGUGAACAGAGUGGAUGGGAUGGCUCCACUUUUAUCCCUUUAUUUCAGUUCUGAGGUUACGAUGUGGAAGAGACAGGCCUGCCACUAGUUAGCUUAGUUAGCGAAUGCCCUGGUAAAAGCAGAGGCUGCAUGUGAUCACGCAGGACAGUGUAAAUAAUUCUCUGCAUGUGGAGUUAACAGCACAGAAACUGAAAUCCGUUUGAUUCAAAUGGAGAGCAGGUCGAGUUCAAACGAUUUAGCGACAUUAUCCAGAAUCCUCUCUGUUUCUGACUUACACUGCCCUGUCACUACUCAGGUAAAUCUCUUUUUGUUUGUCUAUACCAGUGCUUCCAAAAUGAUGUCAUUCGAAACAAAGAGAGAGGCAGAUGAGAACACCCCGUGUACGCAUGCACUUGUGUAAAUAUGAAAUAAUCAUGUUUGAUCCCAACAUUCAUUCCAAGUCUUCCUUUUCCACAGUGUCCUUCUCGCCCUUCAUUUCGUCAUUUCAUCCGUCACUUUCAUUUAUUCCCAACUCUUACUGCUUCCAAAUAACAACCAAAAAAGCCCGGAUGACAUUAUGAGAAACUGAGGAAAAAUAAUGAGUGAUUUGUUUAAAAAAAAGAGAACUUUUCAAUGACGGUCUGCCAUAAGUGGAUUACAAAACAAACCUGUUUGUGGAAUCAGGAUGCAACCAAAUUCAGGAGAUGAAAGCAUGAGGGUCAGAUGGACAGAUUGUGUGUUUGGGUAACAGAGUUUUGGGAGGAUUGUCAACAAAUGAAGAAAGGCAUCGUGAAAUGGAGGACAGUUUGGGGAAGAAAGAAAAAAAGCAAAGAGAGGAGGAAGGGAGCUGAACGCUUCUCAGUUGCUGAGCUUCUGAACUGCCCCUUUUCUAAAGCUCCCCAACCGCAAAACCUGUCCAGAGGCAACCCCCAGGGUCACCGCAGGAUUAGUGAUGGCGAAAGAGAGAAAACGAGAGAUGAAAGGAGUGCUUCACUAAACCAACUUGAAGAAAACAUUGUAACGUUCAUCUCUCCAUUACUAAUUUUAACCCCCAACGUAGGUGCAAUAAACUGACAAUAUCACGUCCUGGGAGGAUGUGGAACACAGGGAUCGCUGGCCUUGGAAUACGGGUGGGAUUCAGCAUACAAACUGUAGUAUGUCCUGGCUCGACCUGAUGGAAAUGGAUGCAAUUUUAAAGUGAUGGGAACUAUUUUUGUGGGGUGCUCCACCAUGAUAAUUGCACCUGAAAGUGGACAAAAAACCCUCGAUCCAGUCUCAGAUACACAUAAUGUGUGGAAAAACACCCAUCAUGCCCUUCAACGCUAUGCAAUUCAAACACACGUUGACAGUCAAUUUCAUCAAACGCUUCAAUCGAACAGUUUAUCAGCCAAAUCUUUUCCGCUCCUUUACCUUUUGGAGAUCUUGCACGUGCUUUAAAUGAAAAUAGACAGCGGCGCCAUCGUACUGUUUC